RNAcentral lists this transfer RNA (88 nucleotides) under Clostridia bacterium. RNAcentral's name for it is "tRNA-Leu". It matches the Rfam family "tRNA". From Rfam's summary of the family: Transfer RNA (tRNA) molecules are approximately 80 nucleotides in length. The record is from RNAcentral. Lineage: Bacteria; Bacillati; Bacillota; Clostridia.
GCAGAUGUGGCGGAACUGGCAGACGCACAGGACUUAAAAUCCUGCGGGUGUUGAACCCGUACCGGUUCGAUUCCGGUCAUCUGCACCA